RNAcentral lists this ribosomal RNA (253 nucleotides) under uncultured bacterium. RNAcentral describes it as "partial 16S ribosomal RNA". It matches the Rfam family "Bacterial small subunit ribosomal RNA", at positions 524 to 776 of the family's 1533-position model. The record is from RNAcentral.
UACGGGGGGAGCAAGCGUUGUUCGGAUUUACUGGGCGUAAAGAGCGCGCAGGCGGCUGGUCAAGUCCGAUGUGAAAUCUCCCGGCUUAACUGGGAAACUGCAUCGGAAACUGAUCGGCUUGAAGGUGGGAGAGGGUAGUGGAAUUCCCGGUGUAGUGGUGAAAUGCGUAGAUAUCGGGAGGAACACCAGUGGCGAAGGCGGGUCUCUGGGCCGAUACUGACGCUGAGGAGCGAAAGCGUGGGGAGCGAACAGG